CUUGCAACCAUGAAUCCUGACUGCUACAUGUGGAAGUGUGUUCUACAGGACUAAGGCAGAGGCUGAGGCAUCAUCAGCCUACCUGAGAUGAUGGAAUAAUUCAAGGAUCGGAAAGUGAAUCAAAGCAGAAUGCAUGGGAGAAAACAGGACAGUUUUUUAGUCUGCUCAUCAACAUCAUUUUAUCCGCAUUGUUCUCAAAAAUCUGAACAUUAAGACAACUCAAGUGUGACCUGACCAGUUCACAGAACGCUGAGAAUAUUACUUAGUACAAUCUCAUCACAAUACUUCUAUUUUGCAAUACAAGAUAGCCAUAUUAUACUUUGCUUAUAUUAAGUUUGUAACUAUCUAAAAUCUCCAAGUUUUUUAGAGCAAUCUACUUCCAGAUAACAUGUCUAUUUUAUACAUAAA
This 408-nucleotide long non-coding RNA is filed under the name Homo sapiens (human). RNAcentral's name for it is "non-protein coding lnc-CD2AP-1:1". Lineage: Eukaryota; Metazoa; Chordata; Mammalia; Primates; Hominidae. The record is from RNAcentral.